AACUACUCUCUCUCAGAAAUACUGUAUCAGCCCUACUAUGUCUGAGAAGACUACCUAGUUCUAACUUUUUUCCUUUGGUAUAUUCAGCACUGAAUUAUUUUGAGAGUUUCAUCUUCUACUUUUAUUUGCAAAUAAAAUAGAAAAGAAUAGCAAACGUAAAACCAAAAUAUAAAAAGAUCACUGUUUAGCAUGUCAGAGAUGUUUAAGAGGACAUCCUUUAUCACCUUUAAGAGUGAAAUAUGACUGGAAACAUAACCAAAUUCUGGUGUGGCUAUUUAAAUGUCAGGUUUUGGGCACAGAAGAGAGAAGUGCCUAAUGGGGGUGAUUUAAUCAUGGCCAUUUUCAUCUGCC
This 351-nucleotide long non-coding RNA is filed under the name Bos taurus (domestic cattle). Its description in RNAcentral is "long non-coding RNA NONBTAT013416". Lineage: Eukaryota; Metazoa; Chordata; Mammalia; Artiodactyla; Bovidae. The record is from RNAcentral.